This 84-nucleotide small nucleolar RNA is filed under the name Trypanosoma cruzi. Its description in RNAcentral is "C/D small nucleolar RNA (snoRNA), TB6C1C2". Lineage: Eukaryota; Euglenozoa; Kinetoplastea; Trypanosomatida; Trypanosomatidae. The record is from RNAcentral.
UGACGCUUUGGUGUGGUUGUCAAUGAUGGUUUAAUUUAAUUAUACACCUGAUUUUAUGUGUGACGAGACACAACACACUGAGUA